CCUACGGGUGGCAGCAGUGGGGAAUAUUGGGCAAUGGACGCAAGUCUGACCCAGCAACGCCGCGUGAAGGAUGAAGGCCUUCGGGUUGUAAACUUCUUUUCUCAGGGACGAAGAACGUGACGGUACCUUAGGAAUAAGCCACGGCUAACUACGUGCCCGCAGCCGCGGUAAUACGUAGGAGGCAAGCGUUAUCCGGAUUGACUGGGUGGAAAGGGUGCGUAGGUGGGACGGCAAGUUAGGAGUGAAACUCACAGGCUCAACCUUGGGCCUGCUACUAAAACUGUUGGUCUUGAGUGCAGGAGGGGCAGACGGAAUUCCUAGUGUAGCGGUGGAAUGCGUAGAUAUUAGGAGGAACACCAGUGGCGAAGGCGGGUUGCUAGACAGUAACUGACACUGAGGCACGAAAGCGUGGGGAGCAAACAGGAUUAGAUACCCGGGUAGUC
Molecule: ribosomal RNA, 443 nt
Filed under: uncultured bacterium
Lineage: Bacteria
Description: partial 16S ribosomal RNA
Rfam family: Bacterial small subunit ribosomal RNA
Source: RNAcentral